UACGGAGGGUGCAAGCGUUAUCCGGAUUCACUGGGGUUAAAGGGUGCGUAGGUGGGCUAGUAAGUCCGUGGUGAAAUCUCUGAGCUUAACUCGGAAACUGCCGUGGAUACUAUUAGUCUUGAAUCUCGUGGAGGUAAGCGGAAUAUGUCAUGUAGCGGUGAAAUGCUUAGAUAUGACAUAGAACACCGAUAGCGAAGGCAGCUUGCUACACGAGUAUUGACACUGAGGCACGAAAGCGUGGGGAUCAAACAGG
This 253-nucleotide ribosomal RNA is filed under the name uncultured bacterium. Its description in RNAcentral is "partial 16S ribosomal RNA". It matches the Rfam family "Bacterial small subunit ribosomal RNA", at positions 524 to 776 of the family's 1533-position model. The record is from RNAcentral.